CGAAGGGGGCUAGCGUUGCUCGGAAUUACUGGGCGUAAAGGGCGCGUAGGCGGCGGCCCAAGUCAGGCGUGAAAUUCCUGGGCUCAACCUGGGGACUGCGCUUGAUACUGGGUUGCUUGAGGAUGGAAGAGGCUCGUGGAAUUCCCAGUGUAGAGGUGAAAUUCGUAGAUAUUGGGAAGAACACCGGUGGCGAAGGCGGCGAGCUGGUCCAUUACUGACGCUGAGGCGCGACAGCGUGGGGAGCAA
Molecule: ribosomal RNA, 246 nt
Filed under: uncultured bacterium
Lineage: Bacteria
Description: partial 16S ribosomal RNA
Rfam family: Bacterial small subunit ribosomal RNA
Source: RNAcentral